This 322-nucleotide long non-coding RNA is filed under the name Populus trichocarpa (black cottonwood). Its description in RNAcentral is "long non-coding RNA (PTRI_LNC002440)". Lineage: Eukaryota; Viridiplantae; Streptophyta; Magnoliopsida; Malpighiales; Salicaceae. The record is from RNAcentral.
CUUGGAAACUAUUUUGCAACCCAUUAAAGAUCCUUGUAGACCUAGAAGAUUCCCAAAACAAGCUGUCAUAUUCUUGUAGGAAAAGAAUCCAAACCAAAUAGGAAGUCCACAAGUCAAAAGGAAGUAAAUAACAAAAUUCGUACAGUCUUUGUUGACCAAUAUUGCAUUUCCUUCUCGAACUCCAAUUGACCUGAACUCUUAACCCAAGGUAGGACAUGUAAAAUUUUAGCCUGAACCAACGGUCGGAUUGAGAAUUAUAACUAUUGUCGUGAAAUUGGACAGUUGUGCAUUUUAACGUCAUAAUCCGAAUUUAAUUUUUUUU